UAUUGAAAAAAUGAAGCCUAUGUCUGACUUGUGUGCCACUUGUAAAGAGAUAAGUGGACUGAUUAUAAGAAGUGCUAACAUGCAAUCAGAUGAAAGGAUAACUGAGGCAAUGCAAAAGGCACUAGAUCACAGAAGUCUUGU
Long non-coding RNA from Amphimedon queenslandica, 141 nucleotides. RefSeq lists it as uncharacterized. Lineage: Eukaryota; Metazoa; Porifera; Demospongiae; Haplosclerida; Niphatidae. The transcript has 2 exons. The record is from RefSeq and is a predicted model, not a curated record.